CCUACGGGAGGCAGCAGUGAGGAAUAUUGGUCAAUGGUCGAAAGUCUGAACCAGCCAAGUAGCGUGAAGGAUGACUGCCCUAUGGGUUGUAAACUUCUUUUAUAUGGGAAUAAAACAGGGUAUGCAUACCCUCUUGUAUGUACCAUAUGAAUAAGGAUCGGCUAACUCCGUGCCAGCAGCCGCGGUAAUACGGAGGGUCCGAGCGUUAUCCGGAUUUAUUGGGUUUAAAGGGAGCGUAGGUGGAUUGUUAAGUGAGUUGUGAAAGUGUGCGGCUCAACCGUAAAAUUGCAGUUGGAACUGGCAGGCUUGAGUACAGUAGAGGUGGGCGGAAUUCGUGGUGUAGCGGUGAAAUGCUUAGAUAUCACGAAGAACUCCGAUUGCGAAGGCAGCUCACUGGACUGCAACUGACACUGAUGCUCGAAAGUGUGGGUAUCAAACAGGAUUAGAUACCCCAGUAGUC
This 460-nucleotide ribosomal RNA is filed under the name uncultured bacterium. RNAcentral's name for it is "partial 16S ribosomal RNA". It matches the Rfam family "Bacterial small subunit ribosomal RNA", at positions 338 to 795 of the family's 1533-position model. The record is from RNAcentral.